UCGGGUGUGGUGUACGGUGCACGGCAGCUUCAGUUAUGUGGUGGGAGAUUAAAAUCUCAGCUGCCGACCGGGGCUCGACUCCCCGCGCCCGAA
Mycena vulgaris is the source of this 93-nucleotide non-coding RNA. The record is from the annotation of a GenBank genome assembly. NCBI's taxonomy places the organism in Eukaryota, Fungi, Basidiomycota, Agaricomycetes, Agaricales, Mycenaceae.